RNAcentral lists this non-coding RNA (46 nucleotides) under Schistosoma mansoni. The record is from RNAcentral. Lineage: Eukaryota; Metazoa; Platyhelminthes; Trematoda; Strigeidida; Schistosomatidae.
AUCCAGCUGACAAGUCCCAAAAGGGGACGAAAUGCGCGUCCUGGAU